UACGGAGGGUGCAAGCGUUAAUCGGAAUUACUGGGCGUAAAGCGUGCGUAGGCGGUUAUUUAAGUCAGAUGUGAAAGCCCCGGGCUUAACCUGGGAACUGCAUUUGAUACUGGGUAACUAGAGUUUGGUAGAGGAGAGCGGAAUUUCCGGUGUAGCGGUGAAAUGCGUAGAUAUCGGAAGGAACACCAGUGGCGAAGGCGGCUCUCUGGACCAAAACUGACGCUGAGGUACGAAAGCGUGGGUAGCAAACAGG
Molecule: ribosomal RNA, 253 nt
Filed under: uncultured bacterium
Lineage: Bacteria
Description: partial 16S ribosomal RNA
Rfam family: Bacterial small subunit ribosomal RNA
Source: RNAcentral